UACGAGUGCCUCGAGCGUUAUCCGGAAUCAUUGGGCGUAAAGAGCGUGUAGGCGGCCAGGUAGGUCGGUUGUGAAAACUGGAGGCUCAACCUUCAGAGGUCGACCGAAACCAUCUGGCUAGAGUCCGGGAGAGGAGAGUGGAAUUCCUGGUGUAGCGGUGAAAUGCGCAGAUAUCAGGAAGAACACCCGUGGCGAAAGCGGCUCUCUGGAACGGUACUGACGCUGAGACGCGAAAGCGUGGGGAGCGAAUAGG
This 253-nucleotide ribosomal RNA is filed under the name uncultured bacterium. RNAcentral describes it as "partial 16S ribosomal RNA". It matches the Rfam family "Bacterial small subunit ribosomal RNA", at positions 524 to 776 of the family's 1533-position model. The record is from RNAcentral.